This 554-nucleotide non-coding RNA is filed under the name Zostera marina. RNAcentral describes it as "Eukaryotic small subunit ribosomal RNA". It matches the Rfam family "Eukaryotic small subunit ribosomal RNA", at positions 4 to 542 of the family's 1831-position model. Lineage: Eukaryota; Viridiplantae; Streptophyta; Magnoliopsida; Alismatales; Zosteraceae. The record is from Rfam by way of RNAcentral.
CUGGUUGAUCCUGUCAGUAGUCGUAUGCUUGUUUCAAAAAUUAAACCAUGCAUGUGCAAGUAUGAACUAAUUCAAAUUGUGAAAUUGCGAAUGACUCAUUAAAUCAGUUAUAAUUUGUUUGAUGAUAUCUUACUACUCAGAUAACCGUAGUAAUUCUAGAGUUAAUACGUGCACCAAACCCCAACUUUUAGAAGGGGCACAUUUGUUAGAUAAAAGGUUGACACGAUUUUGUUCGUUGCUCAGAUGAUUCAGGAUAACUUGACGGAUCGCAUGACCUUUGUGCUGGCGACGCAUCCUUUAAAUUUCUGCCCUAUCAACUUUCGGUGGUAGGAUAGGGGCUACCAUGGUGGUGACGGGUGACGGAAAAUUAGGGUUUGAUUCCGGAGAGAGAGUCUGAGAAACGGCUAUCACAUCCAAGGAAGCAAGCAAGCACGCAAAUUACCCAAUCCUGACACGGGGAUGUAAUGACAAUAAAUAACAAUAUCGGGAUCUUUGAGUCUGGUAAUUGGAAUGAGUAUGAUCAUAUAAUUACUCAAUAAAUUGAGCUAAUCAUU